Molecule: ribosomal RNA, 492 nt
Filed under: uncultured bacterium
Lineage: Bacteria
Description: partial 16S ribosomal RNA
Rfam family: Bacterial small subunit ribosomal RNA
Source: RNAcentral
AGUGAACGCUGGCGGCAGGCCUAACACAUGCAAGUCGAACGGCAGCACAGUAAGAGCUUGCUCCUACGGGUGGCGAGUGGCGGAUGGGUGAGGAAUACAUCGGAAUCUACUUUUUCGUGGGGGACAACGUAGGGAAACUUACGCUAAUACCGCAUACGACCUGCGGGUGAAAGCAGGGGAUCUUCGGACCUUGCGCGAUUGAAUGAGCCGAUGUCGGAUUAGCUAGUUGGCGGGGUAAAGGCCCACCAAGGCGACGAUCCGUAGCUGGUCUGAGAGGAUGAUCGGCCACACUGGAACUGAGACACGGUCCAGACUCCUACGGGAGGCAGCAGUGGGGAAUAUUGGACAAUGGGCGCAAGCCUGAUCCAGCCAUACCGCGUGAGUGAAGAAGGCCUUCGGGUUGUAAAGCCCUUUUGUUGGGAAAGAAAAGCAGCAGGUUAAUACCCCGCUGUUCUGACGGUACCCAAAGAAUAAGCACCGGCUAACUUCGUG